GUUGACCUCGGAUCAGGUAGGAAUACCCGCUGAACUUAAGCAUAUCAAUAAGCGGAGGAAAAGAAACCAACAGGGAUUGCCCCAGUAACGGCGAGUGAAGCGGCAACAGCUCAAAUUUGAAAUCUGGCCCCCAGGGCCCGAGUUGUAAUUUGCAGAGGAUGCUUUGGGCGCGGUGCCUUCCGAGUUCCCUGGAACGGGACGCCAUAGAGGGUGAGAGCCCCGUACGGUUGGACACCAAGCCUGUGUAAAGCUCCUUCGACGAGUCGAGUAGUUUGGGAAUGCUGCUCAAAAUGGGAGGUAUAUUUCUUCUAAAGCUAAAUACCGGCCAGAGACCGAUAGCGCACAAGUAGAGUGAUCGAAAGAUGAAAAGCACUUUGAAAAGAGGGUUAAACAGCACGUGAAAUUGUUAAAAGGGAAGCGCUUGUGACCAGACUUGCGCCCGGCGGAUCACCCGGCUCUCGCGGCCGGGGCACUCCGCCGGCUCAGGCCAGCAUCAGCUCGCUGUCGGGGACAAAAGCUUCGGGAACGUGGCUCCCUCCGGGGAGUGUUAUAGCCCGUUGCACAAUACCCUUCGGUGGGCUGAGGUACGCGCUCCGCAAGGAUGCUGGCGUAAUGGUCAUCAGCGAC
RNAcentral lists this ribosomal RNA (627 nucleotides) under Colletotrichum lagenaria. Its description in RNAcentral is "eukaryotic LSU rRNA". It matches the Rfam family "Eukaryotic large subunit ribosomal RNA", at positions 1 to 648 of the family's 3401-position model. The record is from RNAcentral. Lineage: Eukaryota; Fungi; Ascomycota; Sordariomycetes; Glomerellales; Glomerellaceae. RNAcentral also lists the same sequence under 1 other name.